UGCCCGCUGCACACGUCGAUCGAUCUGCAAUUAUCCGCAUGUUUCUGGGACGCGCUGCUGAUCUUUGGGACUGCAUUUCCCACCUUCGUUUCACAGUUCACAUGGAACUUCUUUUGUGUGAAAAAAUGUUGCAUCAGAGGAUGAAUAUAUGCGUAAAUCAUUAGGGAUUAUGAUCCGUCAAAAAUGUUGAGAGGCAAUCUAAUCUAUGACUAUAUUUUCAUGAGCUGUGAUCUGAACCGGGUCUCUCUUGUUUGGCAAUGUGCUAGACCAAGAUUCUCAGAGGUUUUCGUAUGAUUAUUUUCCUUACAAAAAUUGCAAGGACACUCUACCAUCUACACACGUCGUAAAGAAAAAUCUCAAUGACAGACCAGCAGCAUGGGCAGCUCUCCCCCAAUUUACCUAUUCAGCAACUUUCCCUGAAUUUACCUACUCUGCACUGAAGAAUUCUCUCUUUUCUUUUGACUCACAGGGAAUGAUCCUCACCGUUUGGACAGUUUGUUAUACUAGAUGACAACCCGGAGGGGAACGUUUGGUUCCUGGGUACAUAUGUACCUUAUAUGAAAAAAAAUAAUUAGUAAUUCAAUAAAAAGUCGAAAAUUUCUAAAAAUAUUUUUGAGAAAAACUUAACCUUCCAUUGUACUAGUAAGAAAAGUUUCAACAAAAUAAAAUUCCUCUUUGACUUCUUUUCAAAAAAGACAAAUUUUCAGUCAAAAUAGCGUGAACAGUGACCUAUAAUAGCAAAUAAAUUUUGUCUUCUUCGCUGUGAAGUCAAUGUAAUUUAAAUUUUUUGUGAAAAUUCAUAUACUAGUGCGCAAGUAAGUCAAGUUUAUUCUAAAAUAGUUUCUUAACUAUUUUGACUUUUUGUUUAAUCAUUAAAAAAAUCCCCAUAUAGGGUACAUAUGUACCCAGGAACCAUUGGGUAUUUCCCAUGACAACCCACAUAUUGUUGUUGUAUGUUGAAGUAUAAAUGCAUAGCCCAUCUUCCCCGCAUAAGCUUAAACUUUUGGGUAACUGCUUGGUGUGUGUAGUUCUACAUGGUAUCAAAUACCAUGUAAGAGGAUUAGAGAGGGAUCAGCAUAAUGGCAGGAUGUAUUAUUGAGUCUCGAGUGCGAGUAUGUAUAGAGUAAAAAAAUUAGCAGGCAAUAAAGCUCCUAGGGAUAAGAUGGACAUAAUUCUAUCUAAUCAUGGGCAAUCCUUAACCCGGUGUAUGCCAGCAAUGUAUGAAACAUAAAUGAGAAAUUUGUGAAGUAAAAGCAUCUCUCAUUUUCUGAAAUUACAUAAUAUAUAUACUUUGAUCCGAAGAGCAGUUUUUCUUCUCCAAUGUCAAUGCUAAACGAGGGAAGCACGUGAAGAAUAGGUAAUUUAUAAGAGUAGUAAGCCAGUGACGCAUAUAGGUCAUUGGAACAUGGCGAGUUGACGACUAUUGAUACGUAAAAACCACACACAACGAUCACCCAGAGGACUAAUAAAGAAAAAUGCAUGCUGGAAUAUAGACCACAAAAAUAUUGAACAAUCAAAUGUUUUUGCUCAUGAUUUAUGAGUGAACUGAACUUAACAGACUGAUAGACCAAUAGAUGGAUCCGUUAAAAGUUAAUGGAAAUGCAUCUAGGGUGUUAACAUUCUAGAAGGCGUAUUAUGCGGACUCGAUGAACAAUUAUUCUAACCACAAUUAUUCUAACCUAUCCUUUCAGCUGCAAGCCCAGUAUGUAUGUUGCUGGAGGAGAAGCCGAGGGCGCGCGAGCGCGAGGCCGACACGCUUCGGGAGGAGCUGGGCAGGAAGACGAAGGCGCUGGAGCAUGACGGGGCUGCGGAAGGCGAAGGCCAAGCUCGCCGAGACCAAGGCGGACGCGGAAAGGGCGGAGUGGCGGGGGUACGAGCGCGGCAUGGAGGCCAUGAAGCGCGCCGCUACCCAAAACUCGACCCGGCGAGGCUUGUCGUGCCACUCCACGCCCCCCCUUAGUUGCGGUGACCGCCUGACCGCCAUGCCGGCCGAAACGCACGUUGAUCGAUCUGCGUGCUCUUGGGGUGUGCCUAUGGCUGUCGUCAUCCGCAAUUCUCACUUUGGUUUCACAUAUCAGAGAAUCUUCAUCUACUACCCCUACAAAAAAAAAA
This 2112-nucleotide long non-coding RNA is filed under the name Triticum aestivum (bread wheat). RNAcentral's name for it is "long non-coding RNA (TAES_LNC014238)". The record is from RNAcentral. Lineage: Eukaryota; Viridiplantae; Streptophyta; Magnoliopsida; Poales; Poaceae.